CCUACGGGAGGCAGCAGUGAGGAAUAUUGGACAAUGGGCGCAAGCCUGAUCCAGCCAUGCCGCGUGCAGGAAGAAGCAUCUAUGGUGUGUAAACUGCUUUUGUACAGGAAGAAACACUCCCUCGUGAGGGAGCUUGACGGUACUGUAAGAAUAAGGACCGGCUAACUCCGUGCCAGCAGCCGCGGUAAUACGGAGGGUCCGAGCGUUAUCCGGAAUCAUUGGGUUUAAAGGGUCCGUAGGCGGUUUAAUAAGUCAGUGGUGAAAUCUGGUCGCUCAACGAUCAAACGGCCAUUGAUACUGUUAGACUUGAAUUAUAAGGAAGUAACUAGAAUAUGUAGUGUAGCGGUGAAAUGCUUAGAUAUUACAUGGAAUACCAAUUGCGAAGGCAGGUUACUACUUAUGGAUUGACGCUGAUGGACGAAAGCGUGGGGAGCGAACAGGAUUAGAUACCCUGGUAGUCCACGCCGUAAACGAUGGAUACUAGCUGUUCGGAGCAAUCUGAGUGGCUAAGCGAAAGUGAUAAGUAUCCACCUGGGGAGUAACGUUGCAAGAAUGAAACUUCAAAUUGAAUUGACGGG
This 578-nucleotide ribosomal RNA is filed under the name uncultured bacterium. RNAcentral describes it as "bacterial SSU rRNA". It matches the Rfam family "Bacterial small subunit ribosomal RNA", at positions 338 to 917 of the family's 1533-position model. The record is from RNAcentral.